RNAcentral lists this ribosomal RNA (386 nucleotides) under uncultured Pelotomaculum sp. RNAcentral's name for it is "bacterial SSU rRNA". It matches the Rfam family "Bacterial small subunit ribosomal RNA", at positions 996 to 1382 of the family's 1533-position model. Lineage: Bacteria; Bacillati; Bacillota; Clostridia; Eubacteriales; Desulfotomaculaceae. The record is from RNAcentral.
UAUGAAAGACGUUUUCGACCCUCGGGUGGACAGGGAGACAGGUGGUGCAUGGUUGUCGUCAGCUCGUGUCGUGAGAUGUUGGGUUAAGUCCCGCAACGAGCGCAACCCCUACGUUUAGUUGCUAACGCGUGAAGGCGAGCACUCUAGACGAACUGCCGUUGACAAAACGGAGGAAGGUGGGGAUGACGUCAAAUCAUCAUGCCCCUUAUGUUCUGGGCUACACACGUGCUACAAUGGCCGGUACAGACGGACGCAAAGCCGCGAGGUGGAGCAAAUCCUAAAAAGCCGGUCUCAGUUCGGAUUGCAGGCUGCAAUUCGCCUGCAUGAAGUCGGAAUCGCUAGUAAUCGCAGGUCAGCAUACUGCGGUGAAUACGUUCCCGGGCCUU